Molecule: ribosomal RNA, 729 nt
Filed under: uncultured eukaryote
Lineage: Eukaryota
Description: SSU rRNA
Rfam family: Eukaryotic small subunit ribosomal RNA
Source: RNAcentral
CGCGUGCACUGGUCCGGCCGGGCCUUUCCUUCUGUGGAACCCCAUGCCCUUCACUGGGUGUGGCGGGGAAACAGGACUUUUACUUUGAAAAAAUUAGAGUGCUCCAGGCAGGCCUAUGCUCGAAUACAUUAGCAUGGAAUAAUAAAAUAGGACGUGUGGUUCUAUUUUGUUGGUUUCUAGGACCGCCGUAAUGAUUAAUAGGGACAGUCGGGGGCAUCAGUAUUCAGUUGUCAGAGGUGGAAUUCUUAGAUCUACUGAAGACUAACUACUGCGAAAGCAUUUGCCAAGGAUGUUUUCAUUAAUCAGGAACGAAAGUUAGGGGAUCGAAGACGAUCAGAUACCGUCGUAGUCUUAACCAUAAACUAUGCCGACUAGGGAUCGGACGAUGUUAUUUUUUGACUCGUCCGGCACCUUACGAGAAAUCAAAGUGCUUGGGCUCCAGGGGGAGUAUGGUCGCAAGGCUGAAACUUAAAGAAAUUGACGGAAGGGCACCACCAGGGGUGGAGCCUGCGGCUUAAUUUGACUCAACACGGGGAAACUCACCAGGUCCAGACACAAUAAGGAUUGACAGAUUGAGAGCUCUUUCUUGAUUUUGUGGGUGGUGGUGCAUGGCCGUUCUUAGUUGGUGGAGUGAUUUGUCUGCUUAAUUGCGAUAACGAACGAGACCUUAACCUGCUAACUAGCCCGUAUUGCUCAGGCAGUACGCCGGCUUCUUAGAGGGACUAUCGG